Hemicordylus capensis (graceful crag lizard) is the source of this 1098-nucleotide long non-coding RNA. RefSeq lists it as uncharacterized. The transcript is spliced from 3 exons. The record is from RefSeq and is a predicted model, not a curated record. Lineage: Eukaryota; Metazoa; Chordata; Lepidosauria; Squamata; Cordylidae.
GCAAAAGUUCUCUAAAAAGAACGUCAGACUUGUUCACUCUUCCUUGCUCAGAUGCAGAACAUUUUGGAGGAGAAUGGAAGGAAGUUUCUGAAUACUGUCAUUAAAUCAGCUUAAUUUGUGUGGGGCAGAAGAUACUGGAAGAAGAGGGACUGGGGAGGAUGCUGAGGAGCUGCCUGCGACCCUGCCCAAGACCUCCAUGAAGACGUCUGACAGAUGUACCAGAGAGGACACCAAGGAACCCCCCGUGGCCCUGACAGAGACCUUGAUGUGGACUCCUAAUGUCAAGAGUUCAAGUUGGACAGUUUUUGUUUGGAUCAGUUAAAGCUGCCCCAAGCCGUAGUGGAGGGGUGGGAUAAAAUGUUUUUAAAUAAAUAAAUGAACAUGGAAUUUUCUUAAGACAAAAGGGCAGCGGGGGAGUUAUAAAACAUGUGUGAGAACUGUGAGUUUAAAUGUUUCUGUUAAUAUGUGUGUGUGUGUGUGUCUAUCUAUCUAUCUAUCUAUCUAUCUAUCUAUCUAUCUAUACACACACACACACACACACACACACACACACACACACACACACAGAGCUUUAAUGCUUUUGCAAAUUCCAUUGCUGUUUGGGUCUUUCAUAACCCACACUUACAAUGAAUAUUAACUCCACACUUUCCUCUCCAGAGUUUUCCAUCUUUUGCACCAUUGAGUGAAUCACAAUUGUGACCCACAUCAAUAUUUUUUGUUUGUGACCAACAUCAACAUCUUUUUGUGUGUGACAAACAUCAAUGUCUUUCAUUUCGUACAAAGCAGUGCUUUAUUUUCUACAGAGACAUGUUCUUAGAAACCAUAAAAUUCUCACUUUGAGUGCACACUCAAACAUGGGGGUCAUUCACAUGGCCGGGCGGGCGGAGGAGUAGGCAGGCAGGAGGAAGGCUGCAUGAAUCUUACCUUACUCCCCAGAUAAACCAGAGGAUGUUGCUGGGAGUGUGAACCAUGCUCCCAGAUGAUCUGUUGCUGCAUGGAGCAUUGGAGGUCAGGACGUGUUGUCUUGGCCUCUGGGUGUCCCGCAGUGCACCGCGUGUCAAGCACAGUGCACUGGGAGAUUCCCUGAGAAGAUGGGCA